UUUUUGAUUAAUAAUUUAAAGUCUAAUCUGCCCACUGAUAAAAUAUUAAAGGGCUGCAGUAUUUUGACUGUACAAAGGUAGCAUAAUCAAUAGUCUCUUAAUUGGUGACUUGUAUGAAAGAUUUAAUGAGAUAUAUACUGUCUCUUUUUAAUUUAUAAAAUUUAAUUUUUUAGUUAAAAAGCUAAAAUAUAUUUAAAAGACGAGAAGACCCUAUAGAGUUUAAUAUUUAAUUAGAUUGAAAUUAUUUAUAAAAUUUAAGAUUUUAAUUUAUAUUAAAUAUUUUGUUGGGGUGAUAAAAAAAUUAAAAGAACUUUUUUUAUAAAUUUACAUUAAUAAAUGAAUAAAUGAUCCGUAAUUUACGAUUAGAAGAAAAAAUUACCUUAGGGAUAACAGCGUAAUUUUUUUUUUUAGUUCAAAUAAGAAAAAAAGUUUGCGACCUCGAUGUUGGAUUAAGAUAAAAUUUAAAUGCAAAAGUUUAAAAUUUUUGAUCUGUUCGAUCAUUAAAAUCUUACA
RNAcentral lists this ribosomal RNA (513 nucleotides) under Parnassius hide meveli. RNAcentral describes it as "partial 16S ribosomal RNA". The stretch from base 386 to 513 matches the Rfam family "Bacterial large subunit ribosomal RNA", at positions 2473 to 2600 of the family's 2925-position model. The record is from RNAcentral. Lineage: Eukaryota; Metazoa; Arthropoda; Insecta; Lepidoptera; Papilionidae.